AAAAAAAAAAAAAAAAACAAAAGAUGUGUUCUUUUGAUAUAACAAACUUGAAUUUGAGUAAAAAAAAAUUGAGGGAAAAAAAAACCCGUUGUUAACAUGAUGCCACUUGGUCAUCUGCAUAGAUAAUACUCAAACUUAGCUGGACUUAAGAAAUCAAGUGCUAUAUAAGUAUUGUUUUAGUGACAUGGUGCUACAAUGUUAAACUACAGAACUAAUAUGAUAACUGGAAAA
Molecule: unclassified non-coding RNA, 231 nt
Filed under: Hevea brasiliensis (rubber tree)
Lineage: Eukaryota; Viridiplantae; Streptophyta; Magnoliopsida; Malpighiales; Euphorbiaceae
Source: RNAcentral